CGACCUGAGCUCAGGCAAGGUUACCCGCUGAACUUAAGCAUAUCAUUAAGCGGUGGAAAAGAAACUAACCAGGAUUCCCCUAGUAACGGCGAGCGAACCGGGAAUAGCCCAACUUGAAAAUCUCCCCUUGGAGAAUUGUAGUCUACAGAAGCGCCCUCAUGGGCUGGCGGAACUCAAGUCGGAUCGAAUGCCGCGUCAGAGAGGGUGAUAACCCCGUCGGUUCCUGCCUAGUCCUCUCACGAGGUGCUUCCCACGAGUCGGGUGUUGGANNNNNNNNNNNNNNNNNNNNNNNNNNNNNNNNNNNNNNNNNNNNNNNNNNGAGUUAAAAGUGCUUGAAAUUGUUGAGAGGGAAGCGAUUAGCGCUUGUGUGUGCCCCAGGCUUAAGUGUGCCUAACGGCCCAUUGAAUGUGCUGGGUGCUGGUCAGAGUGGGUUGUCUUGGCGGGAAAACAGUUGGGUCCACCCCGGUAACCCGGCCGAUGCCGCCGAGAUGACCAAGGCGUGAAGGUUGCUUUGUCCUUCGGGAUCCGCAUCCUAAAGACUCUGGCAGAAAAGCGUUAAUCGACCCGUCUUGAAACACGGACCAAGGAGUCUAACAUGUAUGCGAGUUGGCGGGUUGAAAACCCGUAAGCGCAAGUAACCUGACUGGUGGGAUGGCCUGUGCCUGCACCAUCGACCGACCAUGUUGCUUUUGCGAAAGGUUUGAGUGCGAGCAUACCUGUUGGGACCCGAAAGAUGGUGAACUAUGCCUGAGCAGGGUGAAGCCAGAGUAACCUCUGGUGGAGGCUCGUAGAUGUGCUGACGUGCAAAUCGCUUUUCAGACUUGGGUAUAGGGGCGAAAGACUAAUCGAACCAUCUAGUAGCUGGUUCCCUCCGAAGUUUCCCCCAGGAUAGCUGGAGCUUGAUCAGUUUUAUCGGGUAAAGCGAAUGAUUAGAGGUUCGGGGGAUGAAACAUCCUUCACCUAUUCUCAAACUUUAAAUAGGUAAGACGUGUCGGUUGCUUAACUGAACCGUCACAUUCAAUGUGAGCUCCAAGUGGGCCAUUUUUGGUAAGCAGAACUGGCGAUGCGGGAUGAACCGAUAGUCGAGUUAAGGUGCCAAACUGCGCGCUAACCUAGAUCCCACAAAGGGUGUUGAUUGAUAUAAACACCAGGACGGUGGUCAUGNGAAGUCGAAAUCCGCUAAGGAGUGGU
This 1191-nucleotide non-coding RNA is filed under the name Volvox carteri f. nagariensis. RNAcentral describes it as "Eukaryotic large subunit ribosomal RNA". It matches the Rfam family "Eukaryotic large subunit ribosomal RNA", at positions 1 to 1282 of the family's 3401-position model. Lineage: Eukaryota; Viridiplantae; Chlorophyta; Chlorophyceae; Chlamydomonadales; Volvocaceae. The record is from Rfam by way of RNAcentral.